UACGUAGGGGGCGAGCGUUGUCCGGAAUGAUUGGGCGUAAAGGGCGUGUAGGCGGCAGGUUAAGUCUGAUGUGAAAGUCCACGGCUCAACCGUGGGAGGUCAUUGGAAACUGGCCUGCUUGAGUGCAGGAGAGGUGCGUGGAAUUCCUGGUGUAGCGGUGAAAUGCGUAGAUAUCAGGAGGAACACCGAUGGCGAAGGCAGCGCACUGGCCUGUAACUGACGCUGAGGCGCGAAAGCGUGGGGAGCAAACAGG
Molecule: ribosomal RNA, 253 nt
Filed under: uncultured bacterium
Lineage: Bacteria
Description: partial 16S ribosomal RNA
Rfam family: Bacterial small subunit ribosomal RNA
Source: RNAcentral